This 468-nucleotide ribosomal RNA is filed under the name uncultured bacterium. Its description in RNAcentral is "partial 16S ribosomal RNA". It matches the Rfam family "Bacterial small subunit ribosomal RNA", at positions 28 to 507 of the family's 1533-position model. The record is from RNAcentral.
GACGAACGCUGGCGGCGUGCUUAACACAUGCAAGUCGAACGGUGAUGCUCCAGCUUGCUGGAGUGGAUCAGUGGCGAACGGGUGAGUAACACGUGAGCAACCUGCCCCAGACUCUGGGAUAAGCGCUGGAAACGGCGUCUAAUACUGGAUACGAAACUGGCCCGCAUGGGCAUGGUUUGGAAAGUUUUGCGGUUUGGGAUGGGCUCGCGGCCUAUCAGCUUGUUGGUGAGGUAAUGGCUCACCAAGGCGACGACGGGUAGCCGGCCUGAGAGGGCGACCGGCCACACUGGGACUGAGACACGGCCCAGACUCCUACGGGAGGCAGCAGUGGGGAAUAUUGCACAAUGGGCGAAAGCCUGAUGCAGCGACGCCGCGUGAGGGAUGACGGCCUUCGGGUUGUAAACCUCUUUCGGCAGGGAAGAAGCGAAAGUGACGGUACCUGCAGAAGAAGCACCGGCUAACUACGUG